Cyanistes caeruleus (blue tit) is the source of this 1319-nucleotide long non-coding RNA. NCBI's taxonomy places the organism in Eukaryota, Metazoa, Chordata, Aves, Passeriformes, Paridae. The record is from Ensembl.
CAACAAACUCCCUUCCAAAUUUUGGCUGUACGCACAAUGACAUCCAGAAAGUCUCAGUACAAAUAGGUCUUCAUCCUUUCUCUUCCUAUGUGCAAAUGUAAAAUGAUCUCAGAAAAGUUUUUCACUUCCUAAAGUAUAUACCAGCUAUGAAUGACAGGAGGUUUUAUCAUGGCUGGUUUGGAAUAAAUACGAGCAGAUCUGUCAGGGUCCAGAAAUGCAAAAUGAAAUUUGACAUUCAGUCAUUCUGCCAAAAAGGAAUCACAAAAAGCAUGCAAAGUGCAAAUACACAAAUAAGAUUGGAUGCAUGUUCAAAUUCCAAGGAAGAAAAAUAUGGAACAGGAGUAACUAGACCCAUCAUCUACAGGAGAACUGUAGAGAAUCCUUCCGGACUGAGGCCACGUCUGACUGAUGUUUCACCAUGCACUGUAAAACUGCUGAAGACCAUCCUUUGCAGUCAGUGUGGCAGAAUAAAUAUUUCUUUUCUCCUACAGAAAAGUCAGGCACUGCUCACCUGUUCUUAAUGCAAGGUCUUGCACACCUGAUGAUGAAGAUGAGUGCUGUUAUUAAACUGAUCAAGUGAACAUACCGUGGAGUGAAACAAGGUGCAUUUGUGGAGGCCUAAGCACAUUUGCUACACCACCCUCAGUCUGAAAUUAUACACCAGAAUGAACCAGAAACCUUCUAUUGUAGCGUGUGGCAAUAAGCACAUGGCCCCCACUUGACCAUCACUUAGCUUAGUGUCUAGCUAACUAAAGUAUGAACAUCAAAUAACUUGUCUCCUUAUGAAAAAAAUAGGAAAUACAUUUAAAAUUAUUGGGCACGGGGCAAAUGUCUGCUUUGCUGUUUUCGUCUGGGAGGAUGGAGAACAGGAACAAGAUGUUUUAUUGCUUGGUGUACAAUUAUACUGUCAGCUCAACGAAAACGCAGAUGGGUGAAUAUGGUAACAACAGGCUGGUACUAUAGAAACUGCUACUGUAAAGGGUUAACAGAGACUGCACUUGCUGUACAUGACCACGGAGCAGAGAGAUCGGCAGUGUGAAUUUUGUGUGAUCCUCCGGAGCAGGCACGCACACACACAGAGAUAGGGACACCUUGACUCCUCCGUGUGCGCAGUGCCCACCUGUCCGGCCCCGCGCUGCCCGGCCCGGCGCCGCUUCCCGCGGGGAUGCGCCGCUCCUUCGCGGGGGGCUGUGGAUGGAGAUGCGGUUUCUGUAGCGCUGGGCUGGCUGCGGGGAGCCAUUGGCUGGCGGCUUUGUGAAUUUCAUUCAGUUUGGUCCAAUAGCGGGAGGAGAGCGCCUGGUACAGCCUGGACUUCUUCC